UCGUGUUGAAAUUCCUUUUAUGAGCAAAAGUUCUUAUUUGUUAUUUGUUUUCCUUAAAACAUCUCCAGGAAUACCUUCAGGGUAUCAACAAUUCCUUUGGGAUCCUUUGAGGAUUUAUCAAAAGUUUUCUGGAAUGUUCACAGAUAGCUGAUUCUCAAGGCAUUCUAAGAAUGAUUUUAGUAAGAAUUCCUUGAUACAUUCCUCUAAUUCUAAUUCUAAAGGAUACAAUUAGAAUGCAACCCUAUCAAUGAACAUUUAUGAGAUUUUAUCAGGAACUCCCCCAGGAAUUUUCAUUAGUACUUCUUCACGAGUUUCUCAAGAAUUUAAUAUUAACCCUUCAGGCGCGCGCUGUUGUAAAAAGUACAACACUACCAAAAAACCUCCCUUUUCGUAUAAAGCGCGAGCGCGGUGCAGUUUCGGUUGCUUGAUGGCGCGCGUCCUGGAAGGUUAAGGUUUAAAAAAAGUUAUGUUUAAAAGUUUAAAUUGAAAUGCUUUGUAAAUAUUAUUCUGGCCCAAAUUCUACAUAAACCUUUUGUGCCACCUUUAAAUAUUAACCGAAAUCGUUUAUUUUUGUACAUCUCACUUGUUUGGACCAGUAAAUCAUAUCCACUUGGGAAAUCAUAUCCCAGGGAGAUUUUUCGAAAUUGGCCCCACCCCAGUAAUACAUGGAGAAAUAUCUGGAGGAAAUGUUGAAGGAAUCUCUGUAUAAUCUCCUGCAAGAAAUUACGGAAGAAUCUCUGAAGGUAAUAGUGCAAGAUUUUCUGGAGGAAUUCCUGCAGGGUUUUCUUAAUGACUAUCUGAAGCAAUUUCUGGACACAUUCAUGUACGAAUUUGCAAUGGAAUUCCUUGCGGUGAUGGAAUUACUCUCAUCAUGAAGCAAUUCGCGAGUGUAAAGCCAACACAAGGCUUAUUCACGAUUCCGAGAGUAAACUGCCUGCUUCGUGAGUAAGACACAAAACAAAAACAGAAACACUCAUGAGUUUUUAUUCGUGAAGAAUUAGUGAAGGUGCGGGAAGUGCAUUUUAUUGUUAUUAUAAUAGAAAAUCCAGUGAUUAUCCAAUAUAAACUAAUGCUUUAUGCUCCAUUGUUUCUGAAAAGCGGCACUGCCUUAACGACAAAAUGCAAAAAACUCACGAAGCUUCACGAAUCACAUGCGAGUGCUUGUCAGCUUCGUUUACUCACGAAUAAAAAAGUGCGUGUAUUCUCGGGCCCCUGUUGUUCACGAGUACGUUUGUUUUGGUUUGUGUCUGCUCAGCUGCUAUCUUCAUCAUUUUCCAUCUCUGAUCCCUUGAGCAAUUCCUGAAAAAACCCUUGGGGAACGUGUAGAUGACGUUGGUUACCAUACAGCAGGCUCUAUCUUGUACUUCUUCUUCUUUCUUCUUGGCGUAACGUCCCCUUCGAUAUGAAGCCCUUUUCUCAGCGUUGUUAUCUACACACUUAGAAAAAAACACCGACUUCGGUAAUAUUUCACCGAAAUCUCAACCGUUAUACUAUUUUACCGGAAAAAAUCGAUGAAGUUAGUUUUAUAUGAGCACUUCCAUAGUUAUCUACCAAUUUAUCUACCAAUGAUCAUUUUGCAUGUGCAUAUCGUGUAGCAGGUACAUAGACACUGUAUGUCCAGGGAUGUCAAGAAAAUCCGAAUUGACCGGGAAUCGAACCCGUCAUGAUCAUGCUGAAUACCUACGCCUUAGUAGCUGUUGUUACAGGGACCCUUAUUAGGAUCGUGAAAUAUUCGAAUAUAUGACACACCUAAUAACGAAAAAGUAGCGCAUGAUUUAGAAGAACAAUGUAAGGAUCGGAGAAUGAUCUGAGCUUCUAUCACACAUAUGAACGUCAGAGGUUUCCCAAAUUGAGUUUAGAUUAUCUGAGAAUAGGUGUGAUUAAAUGAAAAAUACCAGCUGUCACUAUACUGCGUAAAUAAUUUGUUUACAAUCGAAAAACUGUCGUUAUCAAGGCUUGUUCAAACGUUGAACUGUACGCGUCUCGCAAACACAAAAAGAAAAAUACUGAGUCUAUGAUAAACAAUACAAAAAAAAAAUUAGUUGAAGUUGUAUUCCUCUUUUUGCUCGAUGUAUUGUUAACUUUUCAAUGAGUAAUUCACACUUCAUAUCUGACAAUAGCGUUUUCUAGACGUACAUCAAGUUCGACUUCCAAACGCGUGAAAAUUGGUCGUUCGUUCACAUAAUAAAAAUAUAAUCAGUGGCACAACAAUUUGUGUAUCAAGUGUGGUUUCUCGUGUUCUGGUCUGGUAGUUUUUUCUAUUGUUGAGCUACUGUUUUGGACAAAUAUUUGCAAACCGUUAUUGCGGUGUCCAACCAACUAGGAUAUAAAGCUUGAUCUGUGCUAGUUACUCAGUUAGUAGUUCGGUGCGUUGUCAGCUAGAGUGAUAAACGGUCGGUUGUUACUCCAUUAGUUCAAUCCAACAAUUGCGCGGAAAGUGUUACAUUCGCCCGCAUAUACCCCUUCAGUAUUCAACAGAAGACAUGAGUUUCUCAAGCAAGCUUUCGUUGGUCGUUCUGCUCCUGGCAGUAUCGUUUGUCCUGAUAGCAUCAGGACAUCUCAACUGUACUCCUUUAAAUAGUACCUAUGUCGUUUGUCAAGUAAUGAACGGAACCCAAUUUGGAUCGAGGGAAGGUCACCAUGGAGGACGAGGUCGCAGGAUGAUUGCCGAAUUGCUCAAUGUGGCUGAGGCUGGACAAGAUGCGACCGAUUGAUUGUUCGUUGGGAGCAUCUGACAGUGAUUUCUACCUUCUUUUCAAUAUUUACCUCAACAUAUGGAUGUCAUUUGUUGAAAAAUUCAAGAAAGAUUAUUGUGAUUUGAUUAAUGGUGUUGGUUCUUUUCUUAAAGAUAGAUUCUUUGACAAUAAAUCUAGUACAUAGUUCAA
Molecule: long non-coding RNA, 2885 nt
Organism: Aedes albopictus (Asian tiger mosquito)
Lineage: Eukaryota; Metazoa; Arthropoda; Insecta; Diptera; Culicidae
Exons: 2
Source: RefSeq, a predicted model, not a curated record